RNAcentral lists this long non-coding RNA (3026 nucleotides) under Ananas comosus (pineapple). Its description in RNAcentral is "long non-coding RNA (ACOM_LNC017003)". Lineage: Eukaryota; Viridiplantae; Streptophyta; Magnoliopsida; Poales; Bromeliaceae. The record is from RNAcentral.
AAAUACCACUGUAUGAUAUUAUUUUCAUAAUCAAUGAUAUGUUAAUAUAAUGUUGAUGUAACAUUCGUAUGACAUGUUAAUUAUUAUUGUAUAUCAUAAACCAUAAUACUGCUACAUCACUGCUACAUCAGUAACACAUUAUUAUUUAGUCAACUAAAUUAUGCGGUGGGAUUUAGUUGCGAUAAUUAAAAAGUUGGAACUAAAACUUACAAUAGAUUAAAAUUUGGAAGACCAAAAUGUCAUCGACUAUAUAGUUUGAGGGCUAAUACAUGGAUCGUAAAAACUGACCAACUAUCUAAAAAACACGUUAUAAUAGGAAGGAGACACCUACCGCACUUAAGGGCUUUGCUAUAAUGCUUACGAACUGAUUCAAUCCACCUGAACUUAAGAUUUAUUGUUGGGCCUCUUGCCGUUAUGUUUAUUGUGAACCGCUGUCCCACCCAACUCAACUUAAAGUUGAACCUGUUUUAAUCAACAAUAAAUAGCCAACACAAUAAUGUAAUUCUGUCCGGCAUUAACUAUUAAUAUAAGAUUAAAGAGAGAGUUUUCUUUGGCUUCUUCCUUGAGAGGAUCAUAUAUAUUAUGUUAUGACAUGAAAGUAAGUUAAAAGAAGGUCCCACAUUACCUAUUUGAAGAAAAUUUGACUAGUACUAUGGUCUCCUACUAAGAAAUGGCAAGAACACCCUAUGUGCCUUGGACACAGAAGUUACUGUAAAUAUAUACUUAGCUACAUUUUUAACUUUUACAAUUUAGAUCUUCAAGUUCUAUUAUUUAUUUUGAUUAAGUUUUUUUGUUGUCAAAAUGCCUGCUAAACUGUGACCAUCACUGUUUGGUGCUGACAUGAUAAAAUUAAAAGGUUGAUGUUAAACUAAAAAUUUAAAUAAAGAUUCGAAACCAAUUAAAACCUCAGUAGUUCUGCAUGAAUUGUUUAGAGAUAAUUUUGUAUAAACAUUGAGAACUUCUGAUAUUUACUUGCGCAAACUUAUUCGACUUCAAUUGUUUUCUUUCUACCAACUUGACGCACCAAAUGACAAUUUUCAAAAAUCACAAAAUUUAAUUUAGUUCAAAUACUCUAAAUCAUUGAUUUGUAUGUCCCAUUAUUAUAGUUGACCUUACAGAAUUAAGUGUUCCCUCUAAUAAAAGGGUACGUGGUAGCUCAAUUAAUUCAUGGGUGGAAAUUAGGCUUGAAAACGGUUGGAUCUUUGAUGAAACUAUAUUCGCAUCUAUAUUUUUUCGGAUGCAAAUUCGAAUACGAUAUAUGUUGGAUGUUAAAUUUUUGCUAUCAUAUUUGCUAAAAAUGGAUUUGAAUAAGGUCAGAUAUUACUACGACUCCAAAUAUUAUUUGGAUAGUAAUAUACACUAAAUAUGCACAUAUGAAAAGGGAACUAGAAUUAGCAACAACAUAACUAAAACUUUACAUUUGUUUUCAAAUUUUGAUAUAUCUAUAUUUUAUUGAAUAACAUCUAAACUCUAAACAAAAACAAUUACAAUUUGAUACAAAACUUAUAAUAAAGUAAACAAAAAACACAAUAUUGUAAACAUAAUAUUCGAAUUCAAAUUCAAAUUCAAAAUAUUCUAAUGCAUCCCUGUCUGAAUCCGAAUUCGAAAAAAUUGUGAAUAUAAUAUCUGAAUCUGAAUCUGAAUUCGGCCGAAUGUAUAAUGUUGGUGUAAAUAUUCAAAAAAUAGAGGUUAGCUACAAAAUAAUUUAAAAAAUAUCAACGAGUCGAUCAAGCCGAGGCACGGAUAUCUCGCUCUCUUUAAGGAGAUUCAAGCCCUCUGCGGUUGGCAAAGCCUUUGAACCGAUGCAGCAGAGCACCGACUUGUCCCCUCCAGGAUACAACGGCUCGACCCUCGUCGUGUGGNCAAUUUUAAUGACUUUUAUUUAAAUAGAUUUAACUACUAAAUUAUUUUUAUAUAAUUUUUGUUUAAUUAAUAAUUAGACUUAUAAAACUAUAUAAAAAUAUUAAAAAAAUAAAAUUUAUUAUAAAAAUAAUUUUAUAUCCGCAGCAUCGCGCGGGUAAUUUACUAGUUAUACAAUAUUAUCUUGUGGAGGGAUUCAAGAUUUUUUUUGGAUUGAUUUAUUGGUGACUGGGGUCCAUAGAAACUUUUAUUUUUGGACCACUUUGCUUUUGAAAAGUAUAUAUUUUUGAAAAGAUGUGACAGGUUACAAUGAUCAGAUUCUAUAUAUAUAGGCACAAUUACAUUAAUUAAUUAGUUAUUACAGUAAUGGGGAAGCACAAGCAACAACCUUAGAUGUUGAAAGACAAAUAGACCUUACCUGCAGGCUUCUUCUCUCAAAUUUUUUGUAUCGUUGCAAUUAAAUCCUACAGUAUGAUAUUAUUUGCAAAAUUAAUGAUAUGUUAAUAUAAUGUUGAUGUAACAUUAGUAUGACAUCUUAAUUAUUGUUAUAUCAUAAACCAUAAUACUGCUACAUCACUGCUACAUCAGCAACACAUUAUUAUUUAGUCAACUAAAUUAUGCGGUGGGAUUUAGUUGCAAUAAUUAAAAAGUUCGAACUAAAACUUAUAAUAAAUUAAAAUUUGGAAGACCAAAAUGUCAUCGACUAUAUAGUUUGAGGGCUAAUACAUGGAUUGUAAGCACUGACCAACUAUCUAAAAAAUAUGUGCUAAUAGGAAGGAGGCACCUAUCGCACUUAAGGGCUUUACUAUAAUGCUUAAGAGCUAAUUCAAUCUACCUGAACUUAAGAUUUAUUGUUGAAUCUCUUGCCGUUAUGUUUAAUGUGAACCGCUGUCCCACCCAACUCAACUUAAAGUUGAACCUAUUUUAAUCUAUCUACUACAAAUACAUAAUUUGACAGUCUCAAAAGGUGUACGUGGCAUUUUUUAACGCUUCCAAGUCAUACGUCCUUUUUCUCACUUUUUCUCUCUCUAAAUCUGCUCAUUUCUUCUCUUCUUCUUUCAUCUAUUCUUUUCUUCUCUCUCCUCGCACUCAUACCAAAAUGUCUUGGGAAGGUAAGAUACUCCUUAACUCCUUCCCCAAAAAUUUUUUUUCUGUUUCCAAGAUAU